This 1149-nucleotide long non-coding RNA is filed under the name Anas platyrhynchos platyrhynchos (common mallard). Its description in RNAcentral is "lncRNA (ENSAPLG00000024124.1)". The record is from RNAcentral. Lineage: Eukaryota; Metazoa; Chordata; Aves; Anseriformes; Anatidae.
GUCCGGGCUGAGCUAUGAUUGACUUACAGUCCUACAAAUCAUUCCUCUGCUCUCCUCCCUCUUGCCUCCUAACCGGGAGACAAGCAGGGUGGGAGGGAACAGCCGUCACAAGCCCCUAAUGAAUGAGGGGAGAGACAUCCCACAGCUUUCCUCUGCUUGGCUGCGAGCAGGCAAGGGGAGCAGGCAGAGCUGAAACCCUGGGGUGAGCAGCAGGCUAAGCAGUGCUGCUCCCGCUCAAUGGGAUGCUGAAUCCCCCCGGGUAAGGUGCAGGGUGCUGGGCUGAAGAACAAGGAGCCAAGAAGAGCCAUGCCGUGAAGGAUUUGCUCAUGCCAAGGUGCCACGCAGCGCUGCGUGCCGUGCUGGAGCGUUUCCAGAUCCGGAGAUGUUGCAUUUGUAACAAAUCAGUAUGCGUGCUGCUUGCUCUGUUGGAAUAUCAUCAUUGUCCUUUAUUACAUUAAAGGGGAACAUCUUUAUCUCAUGGUGAUUUGGGUGGGACGUGACAUUGCCUGAUGUAAGAGGGGCCUGUAAUAUCAAGGAGACAGCCAUGAAAUAAUGCGUUACACACUGAAUUGAACAGCAGGCUCAUUUACAUUUCUUUAAUUUGGAAAUAUGAACAUUCGGAAAUUCUCUUCUCCACUUGCAUUCCCUUAUUUGGGGAACAUGUAAAUUACAUUUAUGAUAAUCUAGUAUUUAACUGGUACAAGCAUUGCAAAUUCCAGAAGCAAAUGUUUCAAAAUAAGCAGGAGCUGUGCCAACUACCUUUGAAAAUGCAUGUGGCAAAAACCACCUCUGCAGAUGACUCAGGGUGCAUUAUCUUCGGCUUCUGGACCUGCUCCUGCAAAGCUUGUAGAGCAGAUGGGAUGGCCAGGGUGAGGCUUGUAGGGCUGGACCUUUUCUCCCAGUCACAGUCGAGCAUGGCAGAUGGAUUUAAUUAAUAAACUGGUUGUAUCGCCUCUUCUGUUGUGCGCAGGGUCAUUUUUCGCAGCCUGUGAGACCCCGGAAUUGCAGAUGAAAAUGACGGCAAAGGACCUUUUGGAUCAGCCAUGCUCAAAGAAUGCUGAAAAGCCUCUUCUACGAACAAAAUCAUCCAGGAGACUUCCAAGGAAGAGUUCCUCCCCUUCAGAAAAACCUCUGCAGAUGCCUCAGUGA